GACGAACGCUGGCGGCGUGCUUAACACAUGCCAGUCGAACGGAAAGGCCCUGCUUUUGUGGGGUGCUCGAGUGGCGAACGGGUGAGUAACACGUGAGUAACCUGCCCUUGACUUUGGGAUAACUUCAGGAAACUGGGGCUAAUACCGGAUAGGAGCUCCUGCUGCAUGGUGGGGGUUGGAAAGUUUCGGCGGUUGGGGAUGGACUCGCGGCUUAUCAGCUUGUUGGUGGGGUAGUGGCUUACCAAGGCUUUGACGGGUAGCCGGCCUGAGAGGGUGAACGGCCACAUUGGGACUGAGAUACGGCCCAGACUCCUACGGGGGGCAGCAGUGGGGAAUAUUGCACAAUGGGCGGAAGCCUGAUGCAGCAACGCCGCGUGCGGGAUGACGGCCUUCGGGUUGUAAACCGCUUUCGCCUGUGACGAAGCGUGAGUGACGGUAAUGGGUAAAGAAGCACCGGCUAACUACGUG
Molecule: ribosomal RNA, 468 nt
Filed under: uncultured bacterium
Lineage: Bacteria
Description: partial 16S ribosomal RNA
Rfam family: Bacterial small subunit ribosomal RNA
Source: RNAcentral